This 447-nucleotide ribosomal RNA is filed under the name uncultured bacterium. RNAcentral's name for it is "bacterial SSU rRNA". It matches the Rfam family "Bacterial small subunit ribosomal RNA", at positions 355 to 825 of the family's 1533-position model. The record is from RNAcentral.
UCGGGAAUUUUGGGCAAUGGGCGAAAGCCUGACCCAGCAACGCCGCGUGAAGGAUGAAGUAUUUCGGUAUGUAAACUUCGAAAGAAUAGGAAGAAUAAAUGACGGUACUAUUUAUAAGGUCCGGCUAACUACGUGCCAGCAGCCGCGGUAAUACGUAGGGACCAAGCGUUGUUCGGAUUUACUGGGCGUAAAGGGUGCGUAGGCGGUUUAUUAAGUCAGUGGUGAAAGACGGUCGCUCAACGAUUGCAGUGCCAUUGAUACUGGUAGACUUGAGUAUGAUUGAGGUAGCUGGAAUGGAUAGUGUAGCGGUGAAAUGCAUAGAUAUUAUCCAGAACACCAAUUGCGUAGGCAAGUUACUAAGUCAUAACUGACGCUGAGGCACGAAAGUGUGGGUAUCAAACAGGAUUAGAUACCCCGGUAGUCCCUGAGCGGGCUGGCAAGGCGCAU